Long non-coding RNA from Nannospalax galili (Upper Galilee mountains blind mole rat), 2523 nucleotides. RefSeq lists it as uncharacterized. The transcript is spliced from 5 exons. The record is from RefSeq and is a predicted model, not a curated record. NCBI's taxonomy places the organism in Eukaryota, Metazoa, Chordata, Mammalia, Rodentia, Spalacidae.
GAGGAUCAGGACACAGAAGACCACACUGGGCCUAACCUGUUGGAUUGUGUGUUUCUUGCUGUAAUUUGCUGACAGCAACAGAACACUGAUGCCUGGAAGGUGAAUCAAAAGCCCAGGUGGGAAAGUAGAGUGGACAGGGUCAGAUGAGUGAUUACUGGCUGUGCUAAAGAACUCAGCAGUAUCCUGACUACUAGGCAGCACUGUCCCAGAUCCAGAGAGCCUCACAGCCCACCCCAGCACCAGCUCCUGACCUCAUACUUUUCACCCUGCGUCAUCUCAACUGCACUCUCAUUUUUAUAUCUGGAUGAAUACACAAAUACACACUCCUGUCUUCUGUGUGCCAAGUCCACAGUUGACACUAGUGAAGAUUUGUUGACUUGGUAAGGUGCCCCCAUUGAAACAGGUGAAUACAUAUGUGACCGCCCCUCUCGGAAUUGCCCUCAUGACCCAAGAAUGCACCUUGCUCUUGCCUUCUAAACUCACACAACCUCCUCUACUGCUACAUAGGAGCCAUGGCAAGCCAGCAUGGGUGGUUUCCACUUUGCUCCAGCCCAUGCAGUCACACAUUCUGGAACUUUUAAUGUGUAAUUGGCAGAGUAGUGCCAUGACCCCUGCACUUCUUUCCCUCUAAGUAGGGCAUCCAGUGCCCCUAGUCUCCCCAUGUUUACUUUGUCCGCUCGACCUGAGUGUCAUGGAGAAGAGAAAAAGGUGGCCAGAGCUGAAGAAUGCCUUUCACCCUGUAUUUAUUGAAGAGGAGUCAGGACGACAAGUUAUCCCUCCUGAAGAGGACCUGCGCUGGACAGCACUCCCACGGGAAGUCCACAUGGCUCACGUCAUAAGCAGCCCUCCAGGAGCCGCUCAGAGCAGUACCACCAAGAGUUCACUAUGGACUUGCUCAUCUUCAGAGUUCACAUCUGCAAAAUCCUCCUCUGGGCAAAUCAAAGAUGUGACUAGAGACUGUACUCCUGACCCAGAGAGCAGCAAGGCUUCCUUUGAUAUGUCUGUCACCUGCCUCACCAGUGAGGAAGCCCGGGGCAGUUCUAUGAAGGCCAGUCACUCCGGAAUGGCUUCCUGCCAAAGAAUCACUCUGAAGCACUCAGAAACCCUGAAAGAAAGAUCACAGAAUACUGGUGAUGAACAUGGAAACUGGAGAAUACCACAAAGUUCCACAGGACUUAAAUGCACACUAUAAGUUGCUGAUCAGGUUGGAGACAGCAAGGGAGGCCGGAGAUGCAGGAGGAUCCAUCUGGAGCCCAGGUGGGAAGGUAGAGUGGACAGGGACAGGUGAGUCCAUUGGCUAUGGGGCAACCCUCAGGAGUGUUCUGGCUACUGCACAGUCCCCCACCCCCAGAUCCAUAGACCCCUACAGCUCACCCCAGUACCAAUCACUGGGCCUGUCUGACUUUGCACCAUGAGUCAUCUUGACUUUCAAUACUUGUAUCUGGAUGAUCCCCCUCCACACACACAGGAACGGCUCCACCUCCUCCCUAUGUGGCUGGUCCCAACUUGACAGUACUGAAGAUUUGUUGAAAUGGAGAAGACUCACAUUUUGAAACAAGUUCUCACACUACUACUGCUUCACGGGAGCUGUGUGAAGGCUGCAUGUCUAGUGCCCACACUUCACCAGCACAGCCAGCCACCUUCAAGGUGAGCUCAACUGUCCUUUGAGUGGAUCCCACAUGAAAUCUGAAGUGUUUGUCAUUUGAAUCCAGAGACGGGGCCGGCACCAGGUAUGGCAGAGAGCAGGGAACUGUGGGAGGGACAACCACUGAGACGCCCUCCCCUGAUAGUCACGGCUUUCCUCUCUGUGCGCCAUGGUUUCCUGAGAAAUUUCCACCUACUGAAUGAACCCAGAGACCCUCAGAUAGGAUCAUGAUGAACUCAGCAUCCCCCUGCUGGACCCACACUCUAGGAUCCCUUGCUUAGCUUACUUUCAUCAGUAUCUCCCAGAAAGGUCUGAAGUAUUUACCUUUCUGCACUUAUCAGAAACAAUGUUGCUGCUGCUACUUUGUGGCCUCCAAGGCAUGUUGGGCCACAGCAUGGGGACAAGAGAAACCCCUGGAACCACUCAUAAUCAAGGGACAAAGCCUUAGUCCAGCCUCAUAUGGAUGGGACAGUGACAGGACCUUCCAUGUUGAACCCCAACAUCCUGGAUGAAAGAGGGAUACAGAGAUUUCCAAGAGGGCAGAAGGCCAGAACAAGUGCUUGAGAUGGGCAGAAGGAGAAGCAAAGAAAAAUGUCUGCCGACUCAGAGAGUACCCAGCACCUAGCACUGACCCCUUUUCUGGAAGAAUACUGGUCCGAGGCAGCACGAAGACCUUGACCACCUUGGCAGGCACAUUGCUGCUCCAAUGAGAAGACCGCAGAAACACUGCUACUUGUAAGGGCCAGACAGAACUGUACUUUGACAGUCACCUUUGGGGAUCUUUACCACGAACGCUGUCUCUAAGGUCCCAUCUCUUAAAAACCCAGUGACCUCUUAUGCACCCUGCGUCCAUUCAUGGUUUGCACAGGGCUGAGCCU